Molecule: ribosomal RNA, 446 nt
Filed under: uncultured bacterium
Lineage: Bacteria
Description: partial 16S ribosomal RNA
Rfam family: Bacterial small subunit ribosomal RNA
Source: RNAcentral
CCUACGGGUGGCAGCAGUCGAGAAUCAUUCACAAUGGGGGAAACCCUGAUGGUGCGACGCCGCGUGGGGGAAUGAAGGUCUUCGGAUUGUAAACCCCUGUCAUGUGGGAGCAAAUUAAAAAGAUAGUACCACAAGAGGAAGAGACGGCUAACUCUGUGCCAGCAGCCGCGGUAAUACAGAGGUCUCAAGCGUUGUUCGGAAUCACUGGGCGUAAGGCGUGCGUAGGCUGUUUCGUAAGUCGUGUGUGAAAGGCGCGGGCUCAACCCGCGGACGGCACAUGAUACUGCGAGACUAGAGUAAUGGAGGGGGAACCGGAAUUCUCGGUGUAGCAGUGAAAUGCGUAGAUAUCGAGAGGAACACUCGUGGCGAAGGCGGGUUCCUGGACAUUAACUGGCGCUGAGGCACGGAGGCCAGGGGAGCGAAAGGGAUUAGAUACCCGGGUAGUC